This is a long non-coding RNA of Oreochromis niloticus (Nile tilapia), 2092 nucleotides long. RefSeq lists it as uncharacterized. NCBI's taxonomy places the organism in Eukaryota, Metazoa, Chordata, Actinopteri, Cichliformes, Cichlidae. The record is from RefSeq and is a predicted model, not a curated record. The transcript has 3 exons.
UUCUUUUAAAAUAGGACGCCCAGCUACAACAUGGGAAAGACCCAGGGAAACCGAGUUAACGAUAAAAACCCUGAAAACCAUAAAUUUCACACGCGGCCCGGUACCAGAUGACUCAUGGACGCUGAUUUAAGCGACUUUCAUAUGAAAGAAAAAAACAGAGGCCACUACACAACAGAGAUAAGGACAGGACAAACCCAGCAGUGAUUACCUCUGAACAAAAGAAAGGGAACAAGGCAGAAAAAGAGGAAGAGUUGAAAAUCGUUGCCUCGUCCUAUUCGAAUGUCUUUUUCAUUACACUGGUGAGCAGAGGCCGGACAGAGGAGCUUACAGAAAGCAGGUCAGUGGGUAUUUAGGUGGACAGAUCAGAGUGGGGAGUGGCCAUAGACUGCAUCUCUUUGACUGUGCUAGUGAUGCUCUGGGGCAGCGUGGACAGUUGAGAACAUUGAUGUUGCUCGCUGUCGUUACUAAUCCAGCAUGUGCACGUUGUAAGACUACAUGUUUCCACUGUCACUGCAUGACACAGAAUGCCGUCCAGGAAAGUAAGGCCACGUCCUUAAAAAAGCCUUUAAUGCAAAGUCCUGUUUGGCCUCAAAAGGCCAUCUAUCAGCUAUAAUCCACCGUCUGCAUUAAACUCUCCCUUGUGUUUGACUUCACCACACUUUUUAACUCAGAUGUGAUCACUCUCACUCUCAUUGUUGAGUAACUGCCAGGGGAAAGAAAAAAUCAGCCCAGAUGGAGAAACAGUCCAGAGAAAUGGAACCAAAAGCUGGAGGCAAGAGGAGAUGUAAUAAAGGUCAUGCUAGACAAAUUAAGAGAAUGGGUUGGACUUAAGUGGAUAUGCAAGAAACAAGUCAAAUGGAGGGAUUGGUUUGCAAACAAGCACAAAUAAAAUAUUCGGCACAAAGAAGCAAAGAUGAGAGCUGAAAGGAGGACUGUGAUGCAACAAGUGCAGACACAAAAUGCAGACUAGUAGGAGACGGGACACAAGUAGAAUACAUGGUUAGAGAACAAUAGCUCAUUGUGCUGGAAAGCCUUGGACAGCAGAUAAAGUGGUUACAACAGCUGGCUCUUCACUAAGGACUGCCACACUAUUUCUAUACCUGGUUAUAUCAACUGGGCACAGAAGACAAGACUCAGAUAGGCUCGUAUGAGCACCUGCACACAGCGAGGAGACUGGUGCAAAGUUGUUAGCCAAUAUCUGUCUCGUCACAGUAACUGGGAGUUACCAAUGAACAAGAAAUCUCUUUCCAGGCUGUUUUCUACAUCCAAACAAUAAACAAAUAAAGGAAAUGUCUCCAUAUACUUCAAUCCAAUGUGACUCCAUCAACAGCUUUGUUUUAUCCAUUCUGAAAUCCAAAGAUGUCAUGAUUCUUUUGUGACGUAAAACAAGAAACAUCUAUGCAUUCUCUAAAUAGAAAACCUACUUUAUUGACUCUUCUUUUUUUGUAACAAAUGUAAAACCACAUUCACAGGAGGAAAAAAGAAACUGCUCUGAGUAUCGUCUGAAAUGGACCCUUAGCACAGAAUAAUGAUUUCCAAUUCAAUUUUAUUUUAUUUAGCGCCAAAUUACAACGACAGUCACCUCAAGGCACUUUUUAUUGUAAGGUGCAGAGCCAGCAACAAUAGAGGAAAAGAAACUAUCAGAUGAACCCCUUUGAGCAACACUUUGUGACACCGGGGAAGAAAAACUCAAUUUUCACAGGAAGAACCUCUGUGCUGAGGGAGGGGCAGCCAUCUGCCACUGGAAGCAGCCAGAGGCAAAUAUGAAGCCUCUUCAUCUUAGAACUCUGUCGCCUCCAUGAGCCAAAAAAACCUUUAAUAGUCAUCAGUUAAAGAAGUGCCAUGCAUGCAAUAUUUUCAAACAUAAAUGUUAGAAAUGACACAGUAAGAAUAGCAGAACUGUCUGACCAGAGCUGCAUCAGCAUGAAGGCCUAACACAGGAAUCCUUCCCAGAGGGAGGCUAACGGCUGAGGGCUAAUGUGCGUUUUACUGGUCGUGUUGUAUUAUGUCUUACUUUGUGUUAUAUUUCCUUAAAAUAUUAAUGCAGCCUCUGGGGGAGAGUACAUUCUGCUAAUGCCUAAUGGGUAUAAUU